AAAAAAAUUAUCAAAUGAAUAUUCUUCAUAAAGGCCUUCCCUGACCAUUAUUCCUACUUCUCAAAAUAGGUUCUACUAUCAGAUAAUUCCAUAGUCCCCAUAGCUGCCCCUUCUGACACUCAUGAUAACAACCUUUAAGGUUCCUUUGUGGAUGGAUGCCAUGUUUUUAGAAAAUUAAACAAAGUCAGUAUUAGAGGAUUAGGACAGAAAGAAGCUAUGGAAUUCUAGACUAGCCCUCAUCAUCUGGUUUUUUAAUUCUAGAAAUUUCAUAGGGGAGCUUUUCAGAUCCAUCUGAUUCCUAAGAGCAUUUUUCUUAAAAGUCCCCCAGAUAUCAUUUGAAACCUGCCUUGAAAGAGUAUGUCAUUUUGAAGGUAAACUCAUGUAGUAAGAAUUCUAACAGAUUAGUUUUAGAAACUCUACUAUGUAUUUCAUUGAGAUUAAAACUAGCAUUAUUUAUUUAAUCAUCCCCAUAGUUUCAGUUCAUUCAGGAUUCUGAUUAUGUGUAGAGUUUUUGAUGAGUUGGAAACUGUAUUAUGACUUAUUUAUAAUUCACAAAAUUCGCAUGGGAAGGAAGCUAUAAGGUAGAAAGAACAAAGCUGAAUCUUGAGCAUGUGGUAAAUUUACAAAUGUAAACGAUGUCUUAACUAAAAUAACAAAUUCAAUAUACAUGCUGUAAUAUCAGAAUAGCUAUGAAAAGAGUAAAAAAUGAAAUUAUAUUUUGUUUUUACAGAAUUCCGAAGUACUCAGCACACAGAUGGCCACACUGGGGCAGAAGCCUACCAUAUAUACAAUUCUGAAGAGAAAAGUUUAUUUAUCAAAUGAGAAAAUGAAAAAAGGGUAUUCUGGUUUCUUCCCACAUCCCAAAGCUGUGCACUUGAAGUUCAUUGGUGUGUCUGCAUGGUCCCAGUUGGAGUUUGUGUGGGUGUGAAUGUCAAUGUUCUGCUCUACGAUGGGAAAGGCGUCCUGUCCGGAGUGGGCUCCUGCCUUGAGCCCUGAGCUGCCAGAAUGGACUCUGGCCAACCACAACCCUGAACUGGAAUAAGCAGGUUAGAAAAUGAACAAUUGGAGGGAUGAAUACAAACUAUUGUAAAAUAAAAAUGUGUAAAGUAGACAAGACUCUGACAUGACAA
Long non-coding RNA from Sapajus apella (tufted capuchin), 1130 nucleotides. RefSeq lists it as uncharacterized. Lineage: Eukaryota; Metazoa; Chordata; Mammalia; Primates; Cebidae. The record is from RefSeq and is a predicted model, not a curated record. The transcript is spliced from 2 exons.